Molecule: ribosomal RNA, 455 nt
Filed under: uncultured bacterium
Lineage: Bacteria
Description: bacterial SSU rRNA
Rfam family: Bacterial small subunit ribosomal RNA
Source: RNAcentral
UACGGGAGGCAGCAGUGGGGAAUAUUGCACAAUGGGCGCAAGCCUGAUGCAGCCAUGCCGCGUGUAUGAAAAAGGCCUUCGGGUUGUAAAGUACUUUCAGUCGUGAGGAAGGUGUUAAGGUUAAUAACCUUAGCAAUUGACGUUAGCGACAGAAGAAGCACCGGCUAACUCCGUGCCAGCAGCCGCGGUAAUACGGAGGGUGCGAGCGUUAAUCGGAAUUACUGGGCGUAAAGGGCACGCAGGCGGUUAAUUAAGUUGGAUGUGAAAUCCCCGGGCUUAACCUGGGAAUGGCAUUCAAGACUGGUUAGCUAGAGUCUUGUAGAGGGGGUAGAAUUCCAUGUGUAGCGGUGAAAUGCGUAGAGAUGUGGAGGAAUACCGGUGGCGAAGGCGGCCCCGUGGACAAAGACUGACGCUCAUGUGCGAAAGCGUGGGGAGCAAACAGGGAUUAGAUACCC